This 270-nucleotide ribosomal RNA is filed under the name Triticum aestivum (bread wheat). Its description in RNAcentral is "partial small subunit ribosomal RNA". The record is from RNAcentral. Lineage: Eukaryota; Viridiplantae; Streptophyta; Magnoliopsida; Poales; Poaceae.
AUGCAUUGUUUUGCAUGGUGGAAAGUGUGUGUUCCCAAGAAGAAGGGUGGUAUGGGGUUUAGGAACCUUCACAACUUUAAGUGGGCUAUGUUAGCAAAAUAGUGUUGGCGACUUCUCAAGAAUCGUGAAUCUUUAUGUGCAUGAUUUUUGAGGGCUAAGUAUUAUCCGGAUGGUGACAUACUGAAAGCAGGGCCGAAGAAGGGUUCUUCGUAUACAUGGCAAAGCAAUGUUCCAGGUAUCCAAACUUCCAAAAGAGGAUGUAUUUGGUGA